This 2231-nucleotide ribosomal RNA is filed under the name Staphylococcus aureus VET0289R. RNAcentral describes it as "bacterial LSU rRNA". It matches the Rfam family "Bacterial large subunit ribosomal RNA", at positions 3 to 2232 of the family's 2925-position model. Lineage: Bacteria; Bacillati; Bacillota; Bacilli; Caryophanales; Staphylococcaceae. The record is from RNAcentral.
UUAAGUUAUUAAGGGCGCACGGUGGAUGCCUUGGCACUAGAAGCCGAUGAAGGACGUUACUAACGACGAUAUGCUUUGGGGAGCUGUAAGUAAGCUUUGAUCCAGAGAUUUCCGAAUGGGGAAACCCAGCAUGAGUUAUGUCAUGUUAUCGAUAUGUGAAUACAUAGCAUAUCAGAAGGCACACCCGGAGAACUGAAACAUCUUAGUACCCGGAGGAAGAGAAAGAAAAUUCGAUUCCCUUAGUAGCGGCGAGCGAAACGGGAAGAGCCCAAACCAACAAGCUUGCUUGUUGGGGUUGUAGGACACUCUAUACGGAGUUACAAAGGACGACAUUAGACGAAUCAUCUGGAAAGAUGAAUCAAAGAAGGUAAUAAUCCUGUAGUCGAAAAUGUUGUCUCUCUUGAGUGGAUCCUGAGUACGACGGAGCACGUGAAAUUCCGUUGGAAUCUGGGAGGACCAUCUCCUAAGGCUAAAUACUCUCUAGUGACCGAUAGUGAACCAGUACCGUGAGGGAAAGGUGAAAAGCACCCCGGAAGGGGAGUGAAAUAGAACCUGAAACCGUGUGCUUACAAGUAGUCAGAGCCCGUUAAUGGGUGAUGGCGUGCCUUUUGUAGAAUGAACCGGCGAGUUACGAUUUGAUGCAAGGUUAAGCAGUAAAUGUGGAGCCGUAGCGAAAGCGAGUCUGAAUAGGGCGUUUAGUAUUUGGUCGUAGACCCGAAACCAGGUGAUCUACCCUUGGUCAGGUUGAAGUUCAGGUAACACUGAAUGGAGGACCGAACCGACUUACGUUGAAAAGUGAGCGGAUGAACUGAGGGUAGCGGAGAAAUUCCAAUCGAACCUGGAGAUAGCUGGUUCUCUCCGAAAUAGCUUUAGGGCUAGCCUCAAGUGAUGAUUAUUGGAGGUAGAGCACUGUUUGGACGAGGGGCCCCUCUCGGGUUACCGAAUUCAGACAAACUCCGAAUGCCAAUUAAUUUAACUUGGGAGUCAGAACAUGGGUGAUAAGGUCCGUGUUCGAAAGGGAAACAGCCCAGACCACCAGCUAAGGUCCCAAAAUAUAUGUUAAGUGGAAAAGGAUGUGGCGUUGCCCAGACAACUAGGAUGUUGGCUUAGAAGCAGCCAUCAUUUAAAGAGUGCGUAAUAGCUCACUAGUCGAGUGACACUGCGCCGAAAAUGUACCGGGGCUAAACAUAUUACCGAAGCUGUGGAUUGUCCUUUGGACAAUGGUAGGAGAGCGUUCUAAGGGCGUUGAAGCAUGAUCGUAAGGACAUGUGGAGCGCUUAGAAGUGAGAAUGCCGGUGUGAGUAGCGAAAGACGGGUGAGAAUCCCGUCCACCGAUUGACUAAGGUUUCCAGAGGAAGGCUCGUCCGCUCUGGGUUAGUCGGGUCCUAAGCUGAGGCCGACAGGCGUAGGCGAUGGAUAACAGGUUGAUAUUCCUGUACCACCUAUAAUCGUUUUAAUCGAUGGGGGGACGCAGUAGGAUAGGCGAAGCGUGCGAUUGGAUUGCACGUCUAAGCAGUAAGGCUGAGUAUUAGGGAAAUCCGGUACUCAUUAAGGCUGAGCUGUGAUGGGGAGAAGACAUUGUGUCUUCGAGUCGUUGAUUUCACACUGCCGAGAAAAGCCUCUAGAUAGAAAAUAGGUGCCCGUACCGCAAACCGACACAGGUAGUCAAGAUGAGAAUUCUAAGGUGAGCGAGCGAACUCUCGUUAAGGAACUCGGCAAAAUGACCCCGUAACUUCGGGAGAAGGGGUGCUCUUUAGGGUUAACGCCCAGAAGAGCCGCAGUGAAUAGGCCCAAGCGACUGUUUAUCAAAAACACAGGUCUCUGCUAAACCGUAAGGUGAUGUAUAGGGGCUGACGCCUGCCCGGUGCUGGAAGGUUAAGAGGAGUGGUUAGCUUCUGCGAAGCUACGAAUCGAAGCCCCAGUAAACGGCGGCCGUAACUAUAACGGUCCUAAGGUAGCGAAAUUCCUUGUCGGGUAAGUUCCGACCCGCACGAAAGGCGUAACGAUUUGGGCACUGUCUCAACGAGAGACUCGGUGAAAUCAUAGUACCUGUGAAGAUGCAGGUUACCCGCGACAGGACGGAAAGACCCCGUGGAGCUUUACUGUAGCCUGAUAUUGAAAUUCGGCACAGCUUGUACAGGAUAGGUAGGAGCCUUUGAAACGUGAGCGCUAGCUUACGUGGAGGCGCUGGUGGGAUACUACCCUAGCUGUGUUGGCUUUCUAACCCGCAC